This 253-nucleotide ribosomal RNA is filed under the name uncultured bacterium. RNAcentral's name for it is "partial 16S ribosomal RNA". It matches the Rfam family "Bacterial small subunit ribosomal RNA", at positions 524 to 776 of the family's 1533-position model. The record is from RNAcentral.
UACGUAGGGUGCGAGCGUUAAUCGGAAUUACUGGGCGUAAAGUGUGCGCAGGCGGCCGAGCAAGUCGAGUGUGAAAGCCCCGAGCUUAACUUGGGAACUGCGCUCGAAACUACUUGGCUAGAGUGUGGCAGAGGGAGGUGGAAUUCCACGUGUAGCGGUGAAAUGCGCAGAUAUCAGGAGGAACACCAAUUGCGAAGGCAGCUCGCUGGGACGUUACUGACGCUGAGACGCGAAAGCGUGGGGAGCAAACAGG